This 175-nucleotide non-coding RNA is filed under the name Bacillus sp. (in: firmicutes). Lineage: Bacteria; Bacillati; Bacillota; Bacilli; Caryophanales; Bacillaceae. The record is from RNAcentral. RNAcentral also lists the same sequence under 1 other name.
GAGAAAAACUAGCGUAAAGGUGCCCCUUGGGGUUAAAAGGGAAGCCGGUUCAAAGCCGGCGCGGUCCCGCCACUGUAAGUGCGAGCAAGACGCGAAAAGUCACUGGAAGAAUUCCGGGAAGACGCGGCAAGCGAUGACCACAAGCCAGGAGACCUGCCUUUGCGAAUCACCCGUG